AUUGAACGCUGGCGGCAGGCCUAACACAUGCAAGUCGAACGGUAACAGGAAACAGCUUGCUGUUUCGCUGACGAGUGGCGGACGGGUGGGUAAUGUCUGGGAAACUGCCUGAUGGAGGGGGAUAACUACUGGAAACGGUAGCUAAUACCGCAUAACGUCGCAAGACCAAAGAGGGGGACCUUCGGGCCUCUUGCCAUCGGAUGUGCCCAGAUGGGAUUAGCUAGUAGGUGGGGUAACGGCUCACCUAGGCGACGAUCCCUAGCUGGUCUGAGAGGAUGACCAGCCACACUGGAACUGAGACACGGUCCAGACUCCUGCGGGAGGCAGCAGUGGGGAAUAUUGCACAAUGGGCGCAAGCCUGAUGCAGCCAUGCCGCGUGUAUGAAGAAGGCCUUCGGGUUGUAAAGUACUUUCAGCGGGGAGGAAGGGAGUAAAGUUAAUACCUUGACUCAUUGACGUUACCCGCAGAAGAAGCACCGGCUAACUCCGUG
This 490-nucleotide ribosomal RNA is filed under the name uncultured bacterium. RNAcentral describes it as "partial 16S ribosomal RNA". It matches the Rfam family "Bacterial small subunit ribosomal RNA", at positions 30 to 507 of the family's 1533-position model. The record is from RNAcentral.